GGGCGUAUAGCUCAGUGGUAGAGCACAUGCUUUGCGUGUGUGAGGUCCAGGGUUCAAUGUCCAGCACUUCCA
Molecule: transfer RNA, 72 nt
Filed under: Chlorocebus sabaeus (green monkey)
Lineage: Eukaryota; Metazoa; Chordata; Mammalia; Primates; Cercopithecidae
Rfam family: tRNA
About the family: Transfer RNA (tRNA) molecules are approximately 80 nucleotides in length. Their secondary structure includes four short double-helical elements and three loops (D, anti-codon, and T loops).
Source: Rfam by way of RNAcentral